Long non-coding RNA from Phyllostomus discolor (pale spear-nosed bat), 75 nucleotides. RefSeq lists it as uncharacterized. Lineage: Eukaryota; Metazoa; Chordata; Mammalia; Chiroptera; Phyllostomidae. The transcript is spliced from 3 exons. The record is from RefSeq and is a predicted model, not a curated record.
GGAGGUGGCCAGGCGCCUGGUGCCAUGCGGACGGCGGACCACUCACACUUGACCUCUGAGAAACAGCGGCACCCG